Long non-coding RNA from Cephus cinctus (wheat stem sawfly), 565 nucleotides. RefSeq lists it as uncharacterized. The transcript has 2 exons. NCBI's taxonomy places the organism in Eukaryota, Metazoa, Arthropoda, Insecta, Hymenoptera, Cephidae. The record is from RefSeq and is a predicted model, not a curated record.
AAGGGGACAUAACAGUAUCUAAGCAGACAGCACAGAGUGAGCACAGAUCAAGAAAAUAAUCCUAUAAGAUUGUGUAUAAGACUAUGGGUACGGAGUUAUUGAGGACAGACAAACUGGUUCUACAGACGCAACUGGAAACGCUGACGUUUCGCUUACGUGUAGAAACUUCGUAAGCGGAUAUGUAUUACUACCGGAUAGAUGGAUUUAUCAAGUGAGCAACGAAGGCUCCAUUGAAAAUGGCGAAAAUUGGAUGGGCCCGCUGUAUCUAUACUACGUUCGACGUGUUUCUCAGUAUACCUAUGUAUGCACAUAAGUAGUACGUAUCGUGAGAUAGGAUAUAGGAGCGUUACGUGCUCGCUGCUGUACAUCUAUAUGGGAUUUUUACCCUAUACAGGGUGGAUCGCUCGAAAGCGAACAACUGAAUAUAUCUUUUAGUUGUGAAGAUUCGAAAAAAUAUUAAAGACAUAAGUUUAAUGGUUUCGAACAGUGAACAUGAUCCUUAUCAAAUUUUUGUUCGAGCAUUUUUUCCCGAGUUAUGAAAAAUAGAUUUUUUCAAUUAAUAUUA